Molecule: long non-coding RNA, 564 nt
Filed under: Capra hircus (goat)
Lineage: Eukaryota; Metazoa; Chordata; Mammalia; Artiodactyla; Bovidae
Description: lncRNA (ENSCHIG00000002744.1)
Source: RNAcentral
GUCCAUUCUGAGAGGCAGCUUCCCUGGGGGUCUCCAUCUCUGAUCCUCAGGCCGUGACUUGGGGUACCCCCCAUCCUGGGACAGUGGGACCUGUACUCCUCUGAUCUCUCAACCACGGGAGCCACGAAGCGGGGAGGAGGAUCCUUGUGGUCCAGGGAGGAGCCUCUGGCUGAGCAGUUCUGUCCAGGCUGCAGGGGGUAAACAAGUGCUGGAGAGGGACUUCCCUGGUGGUCCAGCGGGUAAGAUUCUGCGCUCCCGGUGCACAUACUGCAACUAAGUCCAAGUGCCACAACUGCUGAGCAUGCGUCCUGCAAUGGGAGACGUCUACGCACUGCAGUGAAGACCCAGAGGAGCCAAAAGAAAAAAAAGUGCUGAAGAGCUCAUGCUCUCUGCUGAUGACAGACGGAAAGUCGGUGAAUGAACAUCCCGACUCUCCCUUUCCUCAUCUGAUAUGACUGUAAGGCAUAUUCUUUUUUUUUCAAAGAUACUUUAGAAAUCCCAUGUAUUUGGAACUUAAAUGUCCACUUUUAAAUGAUGGGUGUAUCUAAGAACCCAUACAAGGAA